GAUGAAGAACGUAGCGAAAUGCGAUAAGUAAUGUGAAUUGCAGAAUUCAGUGAAUCAUCGAAUCUUUGAACGCACAUUGCGCCCGCCAGUAUUCUGGCGGGCAUGCCUGUUCGAGCGUCAUUUCAACCAUCAAGCCCCCGGCUUGUGUUGGGGACCUGCGGCUGCCGCAGGCCCUGAAAACCAGUGGCGGGCUCGCUAGUCACUCCGAGCGUAGUAAUACAUCUCGCUCAGGGCGUGCAGCGGGUUCCGGCCGUUAAAAAGCCUUAUUUACCCAAGGUUGACCUCGGAUCAGGUAGGAAGACCCGCUGAACUUAAGCAUAUCAAUAAGCGGAGGA
Molecule: unclassified non-coding RNA, 335 nt
Filed under: soil metagenome
Description: partial contains 5.8S ribosomal RNA, internal transcribed spacer 2, and large subunit ribosomal RNA
Rfam family: 5.8S ribosomal RNA (bases 1-120)
Source: RNAcentral